CCUACGGGAGGCAGCAGUAGGGAAUAUUGCUCAAUGGGGGAAACCCUGAAGCAGCAACGCCGCGUGGAGGAUGAAGGUUUUCGGAUUGUAAACUCCUUUUGUUAGAGAAGAUAAUGACGGUAUCUAACGAAUAAGCACCGGCUAACACCGUGCCAGCAGCCGCGGUAAUACGUAGGGUGCAAGCGUUACUCGGAAUCACUGGGCGUAAAGAGCGCGUAGGCGGGAUAGCAAGUCAGAUGUGAAAUCCUAUGGCUUAACCAUAGAACUGCAUUUGAAACUGUUAUUCUAGAGUAUGGGAGAGGUAGGUGGAAUUCUUGGUGUAGGGGUGAAAUGCGUAGAGAUCAAGAGGAAUACUCAUUGCGAAGGCGACCUGCUAGAACAUAACUGACGCUGAUGCGCGAAAGCGUGGGGAGCAAACAGGAUUAGAUACCCGGGUAGUC
Molecule: ribosomal RNA, 440 nt
Filed under: uncultured bacterium
Lineage: Bacteria
Description: partial 16S ribosomal RNA
Rfam family: Bacterial small subunit ribosomal RNA
Source: RNAcentral